AUCACAAGAGUUGGUGGAUGCCACAUUUCUGAAGCCCUGACAUUAAGGAACUAAGCUGAAAGGAUAUUUCCCAGGCUUAGGGUUUCAGGAAAUUGCAGGUGGAGUAAUGUCAACAAUUCACAGGACUCUGAUAUAGAUCACUAGUUUUCAUUCUCCCAAAUAGAAAAACUCGCCAUGUGACCCUUCGUUGGCUGCUCUAGUAAAGCAAUUUGAAUUUUGCUGACCUAAAUGUACUGAAGGAGAGUGAUGAUGACAACUGCUUUUCUUGCUGAACUUGAGAAAAUAAUAAAAAUAAAGAGGUGAAGAACAGGUUAGUGAGUGUGCCAGAGCUUCUUCACUGGAAACCUGGAUUCUCACAAAGACUCUUUUAUUGUGGGUGAUUAUCUAAGCCACUGUUCUCCAGGGGCUCUUGGACCAUGGCCAAGAGGAGCUGGAGCUGGAACACAGGCCACUUCAGGGUCCACAGCUGGACCAAGGUCUGUAUGCCCAUUACUGGAUACACAAGUAUGUGAGACUCCUCUCUGGCCACUUGUUGUUUGGUGCUGGAUUCCACAGCUCCCACAAAAACACUUUUGUCUAUGGACAGAUGCCCAAUUGUUAUUGAGAGUGGGAUAUGAUGAGGGACAACUUAUUCGACCUUCUUGUUGAUGUCACUUCUUGUAGGCUGCUGUUAAAGAAAAAAAGUAUUCUGAUUUUUAUUAUAGAUAGUAAGGAACUCCUUAUUCAGGACUGUUGGAAUGGACGUCAAUAUUAUUUCAAUAGGGGAAAGUGACUGGGAUCAUCUAUGAACACAAAAAGGAAAAGUGGCGAUUUAUAGCCAAGGAGCAGGUUGAGGGGUCAGUGGGUAGAAAUUACUGGGGAGGUGGAGUACUUUUUGCUAAACUAAACUAGCAGAAUUUUUGAUGAAGGGAGGCCAGAGUGAUCAGACAUCACUUGGAGGAUGGUGGGGGAGGAAGAAUUUGGUCAUAUAUCAAGGGUGAUCAAAUAUGGAGGAUUCUGGCUAAACUGAUUUGACAGGAUUCUUGAUAAAACUAGGCAAUGCAAAGAUGGACACAGGAUCCCAAAGUCAGGACCUAGUUGAGAAGAGGGUUCAGAGGAGCCUGACUAAAGUUUGGUUAAAAAAGGAAUCUUUGCAACUAGAGAUUAUCAUAAUAAGUGAAGUAAGUCAGAAAGACAAAUACCAUAUGAUAUCACUUAUAUGUGGAAUCUAAAAUAUGACACAAAUGAACCUAUCUACAAAACAGAA
Balaenoptera ricei (Rice's whale) is the source of this 1246-nucleotide long non-coding RNA. RefSeq lists it as uncharacterized. Lineage: Eukaryota; Metazoa; Chordata; Mammalia; Artiodactyla; Balaenopteridae. The record is from RefSeq and is a predicted model, not a curated record. The transcript is spliced from 3 exons.